This 460-nucleotide ribosomal RNA is filed under the name uncultured bacterium. Its description in RNAcentral is "partial 16S ribosomal RNA". It matches the Rfam family "Bacterial small subunit ribosomal RNA", at positions 338 to 795 of the family's 1533-position model. The record is from RNAcentral.
CCUACGGGAGGCAGCAGUGAGGAAUAUUGGUCAAUGGACGAGAGUCUGAACCAGCCAAGUAGCGUGAAGGAUGACUGCCCUAUGGGUUGUAAACUUCUUUUAUAUGGGAAUAAAACGUUCCACGUGUGGGAUUUUGUAUGUACCAUAUGAAUAAGGAUCGGCUAACUCCGUGCCAGCAGCCGCGGUAAUACGGAGGAUCCGAGCGUUAUCCGGAUUUAUUGGGUUUAAAGGGAGCGUAGGGGGAUUGUUAAGUCAGUUGUGAAAGUUUGCGGCUCAACCGUAAAAUUGCAGUUGAAACUGGCAGUCUUGAGUACAGUAGAGGUGGGCGGAAUGCGUGGUGUAGCGGUGAAAUGCUUAGAUAUCACGAAGAACUCCGAUUGCGAAGGCAGUUCACUGGACUGCAACUGACACUGAGGCUCGAAAGUGUGGGUAUCAAACAGGAUUAGAUACCCGGGUAGUC